This is a long non-coding RNA of Neofelis nebulosa (Clouded leopard), 1663 nucleotides long. RefSeq lists it as uncharacterized. The record is from RefSeq and is a predicted model, not a curated record. The transcript is spliced from 2 exons. Lineage: Eukaryota; Metazoa; Chordata; Mammalia; Carnivora; Felidae.
CGCCGCCGCCACCACCGCCUGCGCCCGGCGUCCGUAGCCCGGAUCGGAGGGGCCAGGGCGAGCGGGGCGAGCGGGGCGGGGGUGCGAGCCGGGAGAGGCACGACCCGGGGCCGUAGGCGGGGUGGUCUUUCCCGCGGAGUGGCCUCCAGAAGACGGAAAGUUUUUGCAUUCAGUCCUUCCAGCGUGUCCUUCCCUCGCCGGCUCCCUGUGGUCCACCGUGAGGCGCCCCCGCGACCGAGAGGGGAGGAGCCGCGCAGGUGUUCCCCCCUGCCCCCCGAUGAGCAUCCCAAUCCAGGGAGGGGACCCUGGUGACCUCUCCUCCCAGCCAUCGCUCCCUUCACCCUUUCUUCUCUGUCUCGGUGGACCUUGGAUCGUGGAGGAUUCCGGGGAUGCCUUUGGGAGCUGACAUCAAUGGGUAGAUGGAAGUGGUUCUAAAAAGCAGAGAGCUGUGAUAACACAAGGGAGUCGUGUCAACCUUGUCUCACGCACCGCUGAACUCCAGUGACACCAGCAGCUUGCAUCCCGACAGAUGGGGUGUUAUUACUGCACCGCCAGGGAGGCUGCCCAGGGCUGGACGGCGCUGCCCCGAAGGUGCUUUGUUCGCAGCGUGGGGCAGCUUGACCUGAGUGAAGGCAGCAAACACGCAUCAAGUUGGACCUCCCAGCCAGUGUCAGUGACACAGUGGUUCUCAAAAGCCAGCCUGUGUCUGAGUCACCUGGAGGGCUUGUUGAAACAUAGAGUUUCAACCCCCCUGAGACUCUGGUUCAAUAAAUUUGGGGGGGCAGGGAUGGUGAUUUUGCACUUCUGGCAAGUUCCUAGGUGCUGCUAGGUUGGGAGAUCACACUCUGAUGUUUUAUUUUUUUAUUUAUUUUUGAGAGAGACAGAGUGUGAGUGGGGGAGGGGCAGAGAGAGAGAGAGAGAGAGAGAGAGAGAAUCUGAAGCAGGCUCCAGACCCUGAGCUGUCGGCACAGAGCCUGAUGUGGGGCAUGAACUCAUGAACCGUGAGAUCGCCACCUGAGCCGAAGUCAGGUACUUAACCAACUGAGCCACCCAGGCAUCCCAGGAGAUCACUCUUUGAAAACUACACGUCUACUCCAAGCCUUGGCUCUCCCAAGCUCUUCCUCUCCAGGUCUUCUGUGCCCUAAAGGACUUCAGAUUUGGGGAGAAGAGUGAAUGGAAGCCAGAAGAUGGAGACAACCCAAAUAUCCAUCAACAGAUGAAUGGAUAAGCAAAAUGUGGUAUAUCUGUACAAUGGAAUACUAUUCAGCCAUAGAAAAGAAUAACAAGUAUUUUUUACAUGUUACACAUGUUACAUGUAUGUUAUACAUGUUACAAUAUGGAUGAACCUUCUUUCAUUAUGCUAAAUGAAAGAAGCCAGGACCACACACUGCAUGAUUCCAUUUAUAUAAGAUGCCCAGAAUAAGCAAAUUCAUAGAGACAGGAGGCAAAUUGGUGGUUGCCAGCAGGUGGGAGGGAAUGGGGGGUUGACUGCUUAUUGGGUUUCCGUUUGGGAUGACGCAAACGCUCUGGAACUAGUCAGUGGUGAUGGUUCUACAACACUGUGAAUGUACUUAAUACAAUUGACCGCACACUUUACAAUGAUUAAAAUGGUCCAUUUUAUGUCAGGUGUACUUCACUGCAAUAAAAGAAUUUAAAAAGUGAA